GGCUUCAACAACCCCGCGGUCUGGGCGCUGAUUCCGAUUGCGAGUUUCGGAAAAUGAAGCGCAGUGAGCCCGCUGGAGCC
This 80-nucleotide small RNA is filed under the name unclassified sequences. RNAcentral describes it as "NAD+-I sequence". It matches the Rfam family "nadA riboswitch". The record is from Rfam by way of RNAcentral.